RNAcentral lists this ribosomal RNA (1324 nucleotides) under Curtobacterium flaccumfaciens. RNAcentral describes it as "16S ribosomal RNA". It matches the Rfam family "Bacterial small subunit ribosomal RNA", at positions 140 to 1475 of the family's 1533-position model. The record is from RNAcentral. Lineage: Bacteria; Bacillati; Actinomycetota; Actinomycetes; Micrococcales; Microbacteriaceae.
GGGAUAAGCGUUGGAAACGACGUCUAAUACUGGAUAUGAUCACUGGCCGCAUGGUCUGGUGGUGGAAAGAUUUUUUGGUUGGGGAUGGACUCGCGGCCUAUCAGCUUGUUGGUGAGGUAAUGGCUCACCAAGGCGACGACGGGUAGCCGGCCUGAGAGGGUGACCGGCCACACUGGGACUGAGACACGGCCCAGACUCCUACGGGAGGCAGCAGUGGGGAAUAUUGCACAAUGGGCGAAAGCCUGAUGCAGCAACGCCGCGUGAGGGAUGACGGCCUUCGGGUUGUAAACCUCUUUUAGUAGGGAAGAAGCGAAAGUGACGGUACCUGCAGAAAAAGCACCGGCUAACUACGUGCCAGCAGCCGCGGUAAUACGUAGGGUGCAAGCGUUGUCCGGAAUUAUUGGGCGUAAAGAGCUCGUAGGCGGUUUGUCGCGUCUGCUGUGAAAUCCCGAGGCUCAACCUCGGGCUUGCAGUGGGUACGGGCAGACUAGAGUGCGGUAGGGGAGAUUGGAAUUCCUGGUGUAGCGGUGGAAUGCGCAGAUAUCAGGAGGAACACCGAUGGCGAAGGCAGAUCUCUGGGCCGUAACUGACGCUGAGGAGCGAAAGCAUGGGGAGCGAACAGGAUUAGAUACCCUGGUAGUCCAUGCCGUAAACGUUGGGCGCUAGAUGUAGNGACCUUUCCACGGUUUCUGUGUCGUAGCUAACGCAUUAAGCGCCCCGCCUGGGGAGUACGGCCGCAAGGCUAAAACUCAAAGGAAUUGACGGGGGCCCGCACAAGCGGCGGAGCAUGCGGAUUAAUUCGAUGCAACGCGAAGAACCUUACCAAGGCUUGACAUACACCGGAAACGGCCAGAGAUGGUCGCCCCCUUGUGGUCGGUGUACAGGUGGUGCAUGGUUGUCGUCAGCUCGUGUCGUGAGAUGUUGGGUUAAGUCCCGCAACGAGCGCAACCCUCGUUCUAUGUUGCCAGCGGGUUAUGCCGGGGACUCAUAGGAGACUGCCGGGGUCAACUCGGAGGAAGGUGGGGAUGACGUCAAAUCAUCAUGCCCCUUAUGUCUUGGGCUUCACGCAUGCUACAAUGGCCGGUACAAAGGGCUGCGAUACCGUAAGGUGGAGCGAAUCCCAAAAAGCCGGUCUCAGUUCGGAUUGAGGUCUGCAACUCGACCUCAUGAAGUCGGAGUCGCUAGUAAUCGCAGAUCAGCAACGCUGCGGUGAAUACGUUCCCGGGCCUUGUACACACCGCCCGUCAAGUCAUGAAAGUCGGUAACACCCGAAGCCGGUGGCCUAACCCUUGUGGAAGGAGCCGUCGAAGGUGGGAUCGGUGAU